AACUCGGUGUCUGAGGGGUUUUGUCUGUGGCUCAUCCUGCUGCAAUGGUGGUUCCUUUAUAGGAUAUUCAUGAUUCCCCACCUUGAAUCAAUGUCGCCAUCUUCCUUUUAACUCAGGGACUAAUGAGAUACACAGGUCUUCAAUGCCAGUCGCCUCACGGACUCACCACCUAGUUUAUCAAGGAGAAGUCGACGCUGGGAGCAACUACAAAAAUGAAGCUACUCUGAUUUAGCCAAAAAGAGUCUCCAUUCUAAGGACUCCUGUGAUUUGAUUGGGUGCCUCUACAUCAUUCACGAUAAUCCUCUGACCUCAAGUUCUGUAACCUGAAUCACAUCAUAAG
RNAcentral lists this long non-coding RNA (340 nucleotides) under Pongo abelii (Sumatran orangutan). Its description in RNAcentral is "lincRNA". Lineage: Eukaryota; Metazoa; Chordata; Mammalia; Primates; Hominidae. The record is from RNAcentral.